Molecule: ribosomal RNA, 1151 nt
Filed under: human gut metagenome
Description: bacterial SSU rRNA
Rfam family: Bacterial small subunit ribosomal RNA
Source: RNAcentral
UCGGCAAUGGGGGAAACCCUGACCGAGCAACGCCGCGUGAAUGAUGACGGCCUUCGGGUUGUAAAAUUCUGUGGCGAGGAACGAAUGGCAAGGAGAGGAAAUGCUCUUUGUUUGACGGUACCUCGCUAGAAAGCCACGGCUAACUACGUGCCAGCAGCCGCGGUAAUACGUAGGUGGCAAGCGUUAUCCGGAAUUAUUGGGCGUAAAGAGUGAGCAGGCGGUUUUUUAAGUCUGAAGUCAAAUCCUGUGGCUCAACCACAGUUCGCUUUGGAAACUGAAGAACUAGAGUGCGGGAGAGGUAAGCGGAAUUCCAUAUGUAGCGGUGAAAUGCACAGAUAUAUGGAGGAACACCGGUGGCGAAGGCGGCUUACCAGCCCGAUACUGACGCUCAGUCACGAAAGCGUGGGGAGCAAAUAGGCUUAGAUACCCUAGUAGUCCACGCCGUAAACGUUGAGGACCUGAUGCCGGAGUAUUUCGGUGUCGUAGCUAACGCGUUAAGUCCUCCGCCUGGGUACUACGUUCGCAAGAAUAAAACUUAAAGGAAUUGACGGGGGCCCGCACAAGCAGUGGAGCAUGUGGUUUAAUUCGUCGCUACGCGAAAAACCUUACCAGGGUUUGACAUCCCGCUAAAAGUCUUGGAAACAAGAUCAUAGUUAUAGCGGUGAAAGGUGGUGCAUGGUUGUCGUCAGCUCGUGUCGUGAGAUGUUGGGUUAAGUCCCCUAACGAGCGCAACCCUUGUCUCUAUUUGCCAUCAUUAAGUUGGGAACUAUAGAGAGACUGCCGGUGCAAACCGGAGGAAGAUGGGGAUGACGUCAAAUCAUCAUGCCCCUUAUGCCCUGGGCCACACACGUGCUACAAUGGCCGGUACAGAGAGAAGCAAUCCCGUGAGGAGGAGCAAAUCUCACAAAGCCGGUCUCAGUUCGGAUUGGAGUCUGCAACUCGACUCCAUGAAGCUGGAAUUGCUAGUAAUCGCAGAUCAGCAUUGCUGCGGUGAAUACGUUCCCGGGCCUUGUACACACUGCCCGUCACACCAUGAGAGUCGGCAAUACUCGAAGUCGUUAUCUUAACCUGCAAGGGAGGGAGGCGCCUAAGGUAGGGCUGAUGAUUGGGGUUAAGUCGUAACAAGGUAUCCCUACGGGAACGUGGGGAUG